Molecule: ribosomal RNA, 2900 nt
Filed under: Klebsiella pneumoniae
Lineage: Bacteria; Pseudomonadati; Pseudomonadota; Gammaproteobacteria; Enterobacterales; Enterobacteriaceae
Description: 23S ribosomal RNA
Rfam family: Bacterial large subunit ribosomal RNA
Source: RNAcentral
GGUUAAGCGACUAAGCGUACACGGUGGAUGCCCUGGCAGUCAGAGGCGAUGAAGGACGUGCUAAUCUGCGAAAAGCGUCGGUAAGGUGAUAUGAACCGUUAUAACCGGCGAUGUCCGAAUGGGGAAACCCAGUGCAAUUCGUUGCACUAUCGUUAACUGAAUACAUAGGUUAACGAGGCGAACCGGGGAACUGAAACAUCUAAGUACCCCGAGGAAAAGAAAUCAACCGAGAUUCCCCCAGUAGCGGCGAGCGAACGGGGAGCAGCCCAGAGUCUGAAUCAGCUUGUGUGUUAGUGGAACGGUCUGGAAAGUCCGACGGUACAGGGUGAUAGUCCCGUACACCAAAAUGCACAGGUUGUGAACUCGAAGAGUAGGGCGGGACACGUGGUAUCCUGUCUGAAUAUGGGGGGACCAUCCUCCAAGGCUAAAUACUCCUGACUGACCGAUAGUGAACCAGUACCGUGAGGGAAAGGCGAAAAGAACCCCGGCGAGGGGAGUGAAAAAGAACCUGAAACCGUGUACGUACAAGCAGUGGGAGCACCUUCGGGUGUGACUGCGUACCUUUUGUAUAAUGGGUCAGCGACUUAUAUUCUGUAGCAAGGUUAACCGUAUAGGGGAGCCGCAGGGAAACCGAGUCUUAACUGGGCGUUAAGUUGCAGGGUAUAGACCCGAAACCCGGUGAUCUAGCCAUGGGCAGGUUGAAGGUUGGGUAACACUAACUGGAGGACCGAACCGACUAAUGUUGAAAAAUUAGCGGAUGACUUGUGGCUGGGGGUGAAAGGCCAAUCAAACCGGGAGAUAGCUGGUUCUCCCCGAAAGCUAUUUAGGUAGCGCCUCGUGAACUCAUCUUCGGGGGUAGAGCACUGUUUCGGCUAGGGGGUCAUCCCGACUUACCAACCCGAUGCAAACUACGAAUACCGAAGAAUGUUAUCACGGGAGACACACGGCGGGUGCUAACGUCCGUCGUGAAGAGGGAAACAACCCAGACCGCCAGCUAAGGUCCCAAAGUCAUGGUUAAGUGGGAAACGAUGUGGGAAGGCACAGACAGCCAGGAUGUUGGCUUAGAAGCAGCCAUCAUUUAAAGAAAGCGUAAUAGCUCACUGGUCGAGUCGGCCUGCGCGGAAGAUGUAACGGGGCUAAACCAUGCACCGAAGCUGCGGCAGCGACACUAUGUGUUGUUGGGUAGGGGAGCGUUCUGUAAGCCUGCGAAGGUGACCUGUGAGGGUUGCUGGAGGUAUCAGAAGUGCGAAUGCUGACAUAAGUAACGAUAAAGCGGGUGAAAAGCCCGCUCGCCGGAAGACCAAGGGUUCCUGUCCAACGUUAAUCGGGGCAGGGUGAGUCGACCCCUAAGGCGAGGCCGAAAGGCGUAGUCGAUGGGAAACAGGUUAAUAUUCCUGUACUUGGUGUUACUGCGAAGGGGGGACGGAGAAGGCUAUGUUAGCCGGGCGACGGUUGUCCCGGUUUAAGCAUGUAGGCUGGUUAUCCAGGCAAAUCCGGAUAAUCAAGGCUGAGGUGUGAUGACGAGGCACUACGGUGCUGAAGUAACAAAUGCCCUGCUUCCAGGAAAAGCCUCUAAGCAUCAGGUAACAUCAAAUCGUACCCCAAACCGACACAGGUGGUCAGGUAGAGAAUACCAAGGCGCUUGAGAGAACUCGGGUGAAGGAACUAGGCAAAAUGGUGCCGUAACUUCGGGAGAAGGCACGCUGGUGUGUAGGUGAAGUCCCUGCGGAUGGAGCUGAGACCAGUCGAAGAUACCAGCUGGCUGCAACUGUUUAUUAAAAACACAGCACUGUGCAAACACGAAAGUGGACGUAUACGGUGUGACGCCUGCCCGGUGCCGGAAGGUUAAUUGAUGGGGUUAUCCGUAAGGAGAAGCUCUUGAUCGAAGCCCCGGUAAACGGCGGCCGUAACUAUAACGGUCCUAAGGUAGCGAAAUUCCUUGUCGGGUAAGUUCCGACCUGCACGAAUGGCGUAAUGAUGGCCAGGCUGUCUCCACCCGAGACUCAGUGAAAUUGAACUCGCUGUGAAGAUGCAGUGUACCCGCGGCAAGACGGAAAGACCCCGUGAACCUUUACUAUAGCUUGACACUGAACAUUGAGCCUUGAUGUGUAGGAUAGGUGGGAGGCUUUGAAGCGUGGACGCCAGUCUGCGUGGAGCCAACCUUGAAAUACCACCCUUUAAUGUUUGAUGUUCUAACGUUGGCCCCUGACCGGGGUUGCGGACAGUGUCUGGUGGGUAGUUUGACUGGGGCGGUCUCCUCCCAAAGCGUAACGGAGGAGCACGAAGGUUAGCUAAUCCUGGUCGGACAUCAGGAGGUUAGUGCAAUGGCAUAAGCUAGCUUGACUGCGAGCGUGACGGCGCGAGCAGGUGCGAAAGCAGGUCAUAGUGAUCCGGUGGUUCUGAAUGGAAGGGCCAUCGCUCAACGGAUAAAAGGUACUCCGGGGAUAACAGGCUGAUACCGCCCAAGAGUUCAUAUCGACGGCGGUGUUUGGCACCUCGAUGUCGGCUCAUCACAUCCUGGGGCUGAAGUAGGUCCCAAGGGUAUGGCUGUUCGCCAUUUAAAGUGGUACGCGAGCUGGGUUUAGAACGUCGUGAGACAGUUCGGUCCCUAUCUGCCGUGGGCGCUGGAGAAUUGAGGGGGCUGCUCCUAGUACGAGAGGACCGGAGUGGACGCAUCACUGGUGUUCGGGUUGUCAUGCCAAUGGCACUGCCCGGUAGCUAAAUGCGGAAGAGAUAAGUGCUGAAAGCAUCUAAGCACGAAACUUGCCCCGAGAUGAGUUCUCCCUGAGACUUUAAGUCUCCUGAAGGAACGUUAAAGACGAUGACGUUGAUAGGCCGGGUGUGUAAGCGCAGCGAUGCGUUGAGCUAACCGGUACUAAUGAACCGUGAGGCUUAACCUU